RNAcentral lists this small nuclear RNA (24 nucleotides) under Arabidopsis thaliana (thale cress). RNAcentral's name for it is "snRNA_08254". Lineage: Eukaryota; Viridiplantae; Streptophyta; Magnoliopsida; Brassicales; Brassicaceae. The record is from RNAcentral.
ACGUAAGGAUCGUGGAGAGAGAAA